This 136-nucleotide non-coding RNA is filed under the name uncultured eukaryote. The record is from RNAcentral.
AGAAAGAAAGUGAGAAGUCCAAAAGAAAAAGAAAAAGGCGAGGCAGAGAGCAACAAAAGAGCCAGCUAUUCGCCCUUGCCAACUUCUUCGUUUAUUUAUUUGUUUCUUUCUUUUGUUCGGUUGAUUUUGUUUGUUU